UUAAAAAUUUGAACUUAUUGAAAAUAUAAAAGGAAAUAUUAUGUUUUAGGAAAAAUAAUUUAUUAGUUUGAAUAUUAAGUAAUGUUUAUUAAAAUAUAUAUGUAUAAGAGGUUAUAGUUUAUUAGUAUUGUAAAAGAAAGUUUAAAUAAAUAUGAAAAUUGAAUUAGUAUAAAGUAGUUUUAAAAUAAUGUAUCUUGUGUAUUAUAGAUAGUUUAAAUUAUUUUGAUAUUAAUAAAUCUCGAAAAAAAAAGAGUUAAAAUUAAUUUAAGGUUUUUGUUACAGUAAAAUCUAUAAGUUAAUAUUUAGAGGUGAUAAAUUACUCGGGUUUUUAUAUCUGGUUUUCUAUGAAUUAAAUUAAAUUUAGUUUUCUUUUUAAAAAAAAAGAAAGUUAAGAGGAUGAGAGUAGAGUUUCGUUUUCUAUAAAUAAUAAAAUAUAAUUUAUAAUGGAGAUUUUUAUAAAAUUAGGCUUGUAAGUGGUCAUAUUAUAAAAGUGUUUUAACAUAUAAAUAAUAGUUUGUUAUAUUAUUUGUUAAUAAUAAGUUUAUUUUAUAUAAUUGGAAAUUUUUUUAAGUAAAAACAAUUUAGGUAAAAUGAGUAUAUUAGUAGAAAUAAUAUUUAUUAAAAUAAUAUUAAAAUUAAUAAAAGUUUUUAAGAUUAUUUAGGUUUUUAAAAGUAAUUUAGCAAAUUUAAUUCUCACCUGUUUAACAAAAACAUGUCUAUAGGAAGAUAUAUAAAGUUUAACCUGCCCACUGAUUUAAAAAUUAAAUGGCCGCAGUAUUUUGACUGUGCGAAGGUAGCAUAAUCAUUAGUUUUUUAAUAGAAGGCUUGUAUGAAUGGUUGGAUGAGGAAAUUACUGUCUCUUGAAAAUAAAUUGAAGUUAACUUUUAAGUGAAAAGGCUUAAAUAAUAUAAGGGGACGAUAAGACCCUUUAAAUCUUUACAUUUAUUUAAUUUAUUUUUAAAUAUUAAGUUGAAGAUUAAUAAAUUGGAUAAUUGUUGUGUUGGGGCAACAUAAAUAUAAUAAAUAAUUGUUUAAUUAUUAAUACAAUUGUAAUUGAUUUUAUAAUAGAAGAUCCUUGUUAAAGAUUUAAGAUUAAGUUACUUUAGGGAUAACAGCGUUAUAUUUUUUGAGAGUUCUUAUCGAAAAAAAAGUUUGCGACCUCGAUGUUGAAUUAAAAUUUCUUUGAAAUGCAGUAGUUUCAAUAAGAAAGUCUGUUCGACUUUUAAAAUUUUACAUGAUUUGAGUUCAGACCGGUGUGAGCCAGGUCGGAUUCUAUCUCUUAUUAAAAUAAGAUUAUUUUAGUACGAAAGGAUUAAAUAAUUGAAAUAAUUUUUUAUUAAGAUUAAUAUUUUUACUUUGGCAGAAAUAUGCAUUAGAUUUAGGAUCUAAUUAUGUAAGAAAUAUCU
This 1406-nucleotide ribosomal RNA is filed under the name Pylocheles mortensenii. Its description in RNAcentral is "16S ribosomal RNA". The stretch from base 1108 to 1267 matches the Rfam family "Archaeal large subunit ribosomal RNA", at positions 2542 to 2701 of the family's 2987-position model. Lineage: Eukaryota; Metazoa; Arthropoda; Malacostraca; Decapoda; Pylochelidae. The record is from RNAcentral.